This is an RNA transcript of Apus apus (common swift), 10620 nucleotides long. RefSeq lists it as uncharacterized. The record is from RefSeq and is a predicted model, not a curated record. Lineage: Eukaryota; Metazoa; Chordata; Aves; Apodiformes; Apodidae. The transcript is spliced from 3 exons.
CCCGCGCCGCCUGAUAUAGCCGGGCACCUGGGACACACCUUGCGGGGCUCUCCCCGCCUCCCGCUCGGCCCGCGCCCACGGGAGCUGCGUGGGGCCGCCCGCCCGCCCUCGCCGCCGCCGGGGGAGGGGGCAGCCGGGCGGGCGCCGCCGUUUCGGGCGGGAGCGGCGGGAGCUCCCGGCGCCCGGGGAGCCCGGGCACGGCUCUCGGUGGCUCGGGGUUGCUGCAGCGCCGGGGAGGGACGGGAGGCAGGGACGGCCACGCUCGGUUAAACGCCGCCUUGUGCGAGAAGGCAGCGGGGCCGGGCAGGCCGGGGCGGCUGGCGGGAGCUUGCGGUCAGGUGCAGCCGUGGGGAGGGAGCGGGCUGUGGAAAAGGCCUGGGAGCUUCAGGCUGUGUACAGGCUACAGGGUAAAUUCUUUAUCUGUUUUUUUUUUGGUAUUGCGCUAAAAAUGUUGGUGUUGAGCCGCUCCUAUCUAGGUUAAACCACCUGCAGUAUUUUAGUAGCUAGUGGUGCUCAGUUUGUACGGUAACUUCAAGAUGCAGGUUUCUGAUUAAUUCAGCUGCUUUGCCAUGUGGAUGGUGCUCUGCAUGUUAUUGCUUGAGCAUUUGUUUACCUUUAGUAAAUUCAAGGCAAUGAAGUGGAAACAUGAGCAUUCUCAACACCCUUCUGAUUUGAUAAUUUUCUGUUCGUGACUGUUUAGUAAGCUUAAUGUUGUGUGCUGUUCUGUGGCAUAUUUUUCUAGCAGAUCACCCCACUCCCCUCCAAACCCAGGAUGCUAACAGAAGAAUCAUUAAUCUGUUGUGCGUUUUAAUUGUUAUUGGAUCUGACUACCUAGAGCAGAGUGCACAUUGUCUGCAGGUAGUUAUGUAAAGGUGUGAGAAGGUUGCUCAUGAGAAACCUACACACUUCUAGUUCAGUGCCUCCAUCUCUUAAGCUAUUCAGCCCUCUUUGUUUGCUGUAAUUGUCCAUUUUAUCGUGAUUCUGAUUCUUUAUGCUGUAGCUAAAUUAGAAGUUUCAGCAGAAAAAUGUCAAACUGUGCUAAGUUCCCAUUAAAAAACAAAACAAGACAAAGACAAACUCAAAACAUUUAAGCAUAUGCUUAUUUUAAGCAUUUGAGUAAAAUUGCAUGUGAGUAAAUCAUACCUGUGAUGUUUGUAAGGCUAAAGUAAGUACCUGAAUUCAGAAGUAACAAUAUAUUCAUUGACAAGACAGGUCAACAAUAUACAACCUUGUUCUGAAGUUCUCAAUGAGGCUACUUUUUUUUGCUGGAGCACUAAGGACUUUAGCUGGGAAGAUGUACUUCUGACAGUUGCCUUUUAGCUCCUUCUAUUCCAACUGUCUUAGCCACUAAAAUAGUUGCUAGUAUUCUGUUAUUCCAGAUUAAUCCUUUGAGAGCCUCAGAAGAGGAAGAGCAAGUGGGGGUGGGAUGCAUUGACACCCUAAUCUAAAUAAAAUACUUGAUUACCUCCUUUCUGUGGAUGGUCCAAAUAAUUUGAAGUGUGACAUUGCAAUAGAAAGCAAGUUACUAGUGUCUCUGUGGAAGUUUGUGGUUGUGUUUGGUUAAGUGGGUGUUCAUGACAAUUACUGAGCUGUUCAGCUCAUGGAUGCUUGUAUGUGUAUUAGUGGGUGUCUCGUCCCUUAGAAGUCAGUAUUAAAUUACUCAUUUCAGUGAUGGAGAGCUAAGAUGCAAAGACAUUUCCUAAGGCCACCUAUGAUGUAUGGGGCUGAUCUGAAAACUGACUUAAUUUCCUUAAUUUCCAUAUGUUCUUUAACUCCUUUUUUUUUUUUUUUAUGGGAACACUGUUCGAUUUUUUUCUUUUCUUUGUGCUUUAUAGAAUCAAAGGAAACACAUGUAAUUUGUACUGCAAUCACUGUAUUGUACAAAAAUUCAAUUACAGAGUCAUGUAGGGAUUCUUGCUACAUACAAUGAGGUGGUGUCACAUGCUCAUUGUAUCUGGGCUGGGGGAAGCAUAAUCUAUUCCAGAAACUUGUGAUCUCAAGUCUUGGUGGCAUGGAGUAAGUGCAGCUCCCUGUUACCAGGUAGUUGCUUUUAAGAAAAGUUGCUCUUUUUCCCACCUGCCCUAAGCUGAAGGGAAAGUCUUACAUCUCUCUCACAAACUGUAUGUUUUAGAAAAGUUACUGCCUGCUUAGGGUAACAAUAUCUGUAUAUGACUUUGAUCCAACAAGUGAAUCUGGGUUGAAUAUUUACUCUCACUAAAUCAUGAAGUGUGAAGGUACUUUACAGAUUUCUUCAAUGAACUGAUGUUGGGAUGAAGAAGGUUGGGCACUGAGCAACCUUGACUGAGCAGAAAGCAAGAGCAGAUAGUUAUGUCCAAGUCAUUGCAUAAAAGGGUUGAUGACACCUGUAAAUAGAGUUGGUGACAGGAUUGACCCUAUUUAUUCCCAUAAUCUGGGAUUAUUUAAAUGCAUGAUGUUAGGCACGUGCCUGGAUGAAAUAUGUCUGUAUUAGCUUUUAUGAUUUUGCAUUACUUUGGUAGAACACAUUUUAAGAGUGUUGAAAGUGGUAUGGCAGAGUGGGAAACCAACCAACCACAGCGUGGUAUAUAGACCUGCAGUUAAAAUGCCAGCAAAAUAAGCUCUCUUACACACACAUGCAGACUCCUCCCGUUUCUCUGUAUUCUUUGGCAGAGUGCAGCAGAGAGUACUGUUACUGCCAAGCAGGCUUUAGCAAUCAUCUGAAAAUAUCCUUUCUGCUGAGACUAUAUUGUAAACAUUUAGUUGUAUCUCGUCCUUUUCUACCUUGUUUCUCCCUCAUGUAAAGCUAGAAUCUUUAAGAUGUACCUUGUAAUCUGAAGUUGAUACUGUUCUUUACCCACAGGUAGCAAGAGUUGUAGUUGUUGCUUCUAUCUAGCCACCAUCUGUUAACUUCUUUCUGGCUGUGACAGAUUUUUCAUGUGCUUUGCAAAUAGUGUAUCUAAUGCUGCCAAACUUCUUAUGUGAUCAUUCACUGCCCAUCAAUAGCUGUGAUGAAAACAGAGAGCUAUGUGAGGAAAAAGUAAUAAAUAAAUUAAUGUAUGCUAUACGUGCCUGUGAAUUAGCCUUCUUCAUUCACAAUUUUAGUUUUGUAAUUAAGUGAAACCUAAGCUCUCUGGCAGGAAAUGGAGAAUGAUUCAUACAAACACCCGUGAAUUCACAAUUGCUUGUAUUGGACUUGAAGUCACUUAACCCGUUUAUCUUUAUGCUUUUCCAUUCUCAGCAGGUGCUUCAUGUCUCUAUUGUAUCUGAUCCCACACUUUUUUUAUUUCCUUUUUCCAUGGAGGAAAAGCAGGAGGACUUCUGAGUUGUUUUGUUGCCUUUUUGCACUGUAUGACUCAUAAAGUUAAAAAAGCAGCCUGAAAUUUGGGAGAUUACUACUUAAGUAAGCAUAGUAAAAUAACUUUAAAACUGUUACAGUAAGAGCAAAACAUGAGAUGGUCCAAGGGUGACAACAGCAUUCUGAGCAGGCUGUGAAAUGGACAAUGCUGGAAAAUGCUUUUUAUGCAUAUCAGUGAGCAAAUGGAAAGGUCCACUUUGCUGUAGUGCUGUGACAUCAGGAUGUUUUAGCAAUACAAGAGAAGGAUUUCCCAAAAGUAAAAGUUAGAGCCUCGUCCCUUUGAAGUCAGAGUCUUGAUCUUGUUGGUAUCAAACAGAGCAGACAGGAGCCUAUUUUUUUGGGCUCAUAGGUACUGAAAAUUACUGUGCAGUUCCAUAUGUACAUGUGUGUUCUAUAUAUUCAGUUUACUAAAAUGAGGUACUACAAUGAAACCCUGUUUGCAAAAUAAUUUAAUUUUUAUUUUGGAAGUAAUUUUUGAAGUGCCUUUUUUUUGGCACUUGACACAAAUACUCCAAAGCUUAGUUUUCCAUUCCUUUUUUUUUUCUAGAGUUGAAGAUUUUCUUCCACUCAUUUAUAUUUUUGUGUUUGCAAAACAUCUAUUACUGCAGUGUUUAAAGCCAGUUGUGGUGUUUGAGGAUGGUCUAAAGCUGUAAUGGAAACAGCCAUGGGGUUUUUUGCCUUUAUUCAGUAUUCCCACUUUGUAUCAGAAGUCUGAUAAAGUUGCAACAUCUUGCACUUCUGAUGUAACUUCUAACUUGGGAUGUUCAGUUCCAUAGGCUUCCUUGACACAAGGCUGUCUGGCACAGAUAUUGAGAAGUUGGCUUAUUUGUCUUUCUAUUUUGCAAUUAAGUUUUUCCUUAAGGAACUUUCCAAAUGCUGGACAAUACAAACCAUUGUGAUAUAUAGAGUUCUUUGAAACUUUACUGAUUGAAACCUGUCCUUCAAGCAGAGUAUGUCCCAGCUGCUGCCACAACCACAGUGCUCAGGCAGACUCAUCCUCUCCCUUAGCUCCCAGCCUCCCUCCUGUGGCCCCCUGGGAAAGGUCCAUUCCAGCAGCAGGCUUCGGGGCUCUGUGUGGAUGAAGAGAUCUGCAGUCAAGCCUGGAAGAUGCAAUUGCAUCUCAUCUAACUGCACAGGUAAACUCUUGGCUCUGACUGUGCUGCCUCAACUUGGCUUAUGUUCAGCAGCUUCAGCUGUCCUGUUAUUAAUCUCAAGUCACGCUGCAUAUGGCCAUGUUUGAGUGUGUCUGACUGCUUACCUGGGCAUAGAUUCUUAAUGCUGGGCUGCAGGUAAAACUGCACUGUGGGCUCCACUAACUUGUGUCUAGGAGCAUUAUAAUUACUAUCUUCUCUUAAGCAUGUGUCAGUGUUUCCAAUGCAAUUUAAUCUUUGAUGAUUGACCUGCAUUUAGUUUUUCUCCCUUUGUCUUUUCUUGUAUUUACAAAAUUACUAAGUGUGUUGACUAUGCUUCUCAGCCCUUCUGUGUCUUUAAGAGCCUCUGUCAGCGCUUGCCUGGGCAGAGGGGCAGCAAGGGGAGAUGGAGUCUGUGCCCCCUGCUUCUCUGCCUGGUGACUGCAGAGGGCUGGCAGCUGGGCAGAGGAAGCUUCAGCCUCGUCAGCAGCAUGAUAUUUGGCCCUUUGCCCUUUCUAUCUUCUCUAUAAAUACAGUUAAGUUUUAAGUGAACUAUUAAUUUCAUGUUGUACUGGCUGAUACUACUAAUUUUAUUUUUUGAGAGGCUGUGCUUAGGGGUGAGUUAGAAUAACUUGUCAAGGUUCUCCUGCCUUUGAGAUUUUGCAGUUGUUCUUUCAAGCCACACUUUAAAAAGUAUAUGCCAGCAAACCUAAGGCUUGCCCUUGCAAUCUGUCCAUGGUGUAUCGUAAGUCCAUUCACAUACUGCAGGUUGAAGCCCCUGAGUCUCAGCACUGGAGCAAAUUUAAGGGGAUUCUGUGGAACUUCUGAAAACAUGUGGUGCACCCGAGGCAACAUGUUGCAUAAGGGAGUUGUGCAAUCUCAAACCGCCUGAAGUCUGUCAUAAUUUGUGUACCUUGCCUUUCUGUUCUAACAUCCUUUCCACAGCUGUGGAUAAGACUCUGCACUUACUUUUGAACAAAUGAGAAAAUAAGACUUGACGUGUUCAAAAAGGCAGUGCCCUUUUUUGUACAGUCUGUGCCAUCUGAAGUCAAUGACUGCAGGUAACGCCUUGCAGGCAUUGGGAGCUUUGGUAGGUGUACUCUGUGCUCCAAAUGACCCUUUAGGGAGCAUCAGACCUACCUCUUUGAGGUGAACAUGAGCAGAUGCACUCUGUACAUACUCGGAAUAUUUGGGCUAGCAGAAGUACGGGCAAGGGAUGAAGACUCAGCUCAGAAACCAUUUAUUGUCUUGCUGGUGUGUGCUACUGAUAAUAAAUGUUUAUGGAGUCCCUGCUGGUAUCAGGAAAACCUGCGUCUGAAGUAUGGGUACUCCUGGGAGUUAAAUGUUUUGGCUGAUGCCUUUCAGUACUUGGCUUGAGAGAGAAGACAUUAAAGCCACAGAAGUGGUGAGAAGUGUGCAAAAUUAUUGCAUGUGAAGAAGAGAUGAGUUUAAAUGCUUUAGCUUUUGUAUUCACAAAAAAAUAAGCAAUUAACCAUUUUCACAGUUUUUGUUUGAAGAAGGAGCCUUUCAAAGUUUAAAUGAAACUGCUUGAGAGAAGAAUAUGAAAAGGUUCUUUAUUUGAAAUUUUAAUGUGAACAUUCAUCAGCUAAAUGUUUGUUUUAAAUUUUUUAUUAAUACGGAUUCAGUGGUGGUGAAUCAGAAGUGGAUAAUUUUCCUCAAACAUCAUAGACCUUAAAGGCUAUGCCAAACUCCAGUGAAGUAAUUAAUUUUCUAGUUCCAGUUAUAAAUUACCCUUUGUUGCUGUGUUCUGCCCAAACACCCCUUAUAGGCCAUCUAAAUAUUAUCCUUAAUAGUUUAAGUGUCGUGAUUCCCCUAUAAUUUUCUAGUUCCUUUUUAAUGGCUUGAAAUAGAUUAUAAAAAUAUCUCAGUGGUAGGUGUUAGAUUCUAGUCUUUCUGUGGCAGUAUGUCUCAGGCAAAGCUUUUUCUACUAGUUUGCAAGGAUCAAAUGAAUUGUUUUCAAUUUUAGUGUCUUUAUGCAGAGCACUUGUUGAAUUAGGCAUUCUCCUGACUUCAUUGGAAUUAUGAGGUGUAAUUCAUAGUGUGUUUGGCUCUUGUCACUUCAGGCAGUCAGCACCACUAAUUUGUAAUCUUGGGAAGUUAUUUAUUCUGGCCUUUAGGGCAAAAUGGCACAAGUGACAGUGAUGCAGUGAAAUGCUUUACUUACUUAUUUUUAAACCACUAGCUCUAGUUGCUAUAUUUUUUACAACGAACACAUUACUGUGCUGAGUAUUUAAAAAUUUCACAGAACAUUUUGUUCUCUGAUUUAAAUCCUGCAUACCAAGCACCUGCCUGGGGCAAAAAAAAAAAAAAAAAAAAAAAGUUAGCUUUGAUACUCCAAAACUGGUUGAAUAAAUCCUGUGCAGCUGGCCUGCGUGAAAUAUGCCCAGUGACAGGAAGCUGCAGAGAGGAUUCAGAGGGUUAGGAAGAGCUCUGUGCCUGUCAGGUGCUAGGAUUGUUUUUGCCGUGAGGGGCAGUAACAUAAAGGUAUCCAUACUGCUCGGUAUUAAGUGUACAAAGUGGUGUUUGCCAUGUGGUUCCCUCAAGCUUACAUGUAGGCAAAGCUGAUGCAUAAAUGUGCAAUAUUGCCUUCUUUGUAUUUUUAUACGUGCUUUGAUAUUUUCCAAUUUUGGAACUGACUGUUGUUAAAGCCUCAAAGGGAAUCUGCGAGUCUGCUGCAGCUGAGAAUAUGUUUCUAGCACUGGAUGUUCCUGUGUGGUUGUAAAUGCCUCUUCAUGGGUGAGGAAGUGGCGUUGUCUAGCCUGUACUCAAUUGUUUGUCAAGGGGAAUUCUUGGAGACUUACUUAAAUGACCAAGCCAACACAGUACAAUUUACUUGUGUGUACUUUUGGAUGAGAUGCCAGUAAGUGUUAUGGAUUGGAGACUAUUUUUUCUGCCUGUGCUAUUCUCACCACCAUCUCUGCUACUUCAGCUGUCUCCACUUUGCUUCUUUUUGUAAUGUAACCCAGCUGAGACACGAUCCCAAAAGGAAAAUGGCUUAAAUCUAAACCUCAUAAAGUCAUCAAUUAAAAGACAUACAUUUCAGGAAAAUAAAUUUUGGAGUACAAAGUUUGAAGGCUGUGGCCAGUUCACAUGAACAGCUUGUAGCAAGGUCAUGUUUUCCUCUUAAUAGUGCAUUGACAGGAGUUUGGAAAGCCUGCUUUUAGUCUUGCGUGAGCAGAGUCGUUUUGGCAGUGCUCUGCAGUGUUGCCUUUGUGAAUCCAGGUCCAUUCUCAGGCUCCAGAGAGCUUCGAGGCUGUUCUAGUUUGGUUUGGUGGGUUUUUUGAUAGCGGGGGAAGGGCCCCAGGGUGGCUCCGGUAAGAAGCUGAGAAGCUCCUCCUGCUCCAAACUCAGCCAUGGAGGCAUUAGAGGGACAAUAGAUGCGCCUCUGCCAUUAACAUACGAAAGAACUGAGGUAAGAGCUGAGCAGAGCGAGCACUUAAGAGAGAAAAGUGGUGCUGGAGAGGGAGAGGGGUGCUGGUGGUUGGUGAGGAAGAAGGAGAAGAAGGUGCCCUAGCAGAAGUUUUCCUGCAACCCAUGGCGAGAUGACAGGCUGUCCCCCUGCACUCAUGAAGGAACGUGGUGGAGCAUUCCCUGAAAGCGUCAGGAGGGGUGAACUUGGCCAGUGGACUCAGAUUUGCUGCCAGUGGACUCUGAUUAUGCAACUGUGGAAGACCCCGGCUCCAGGGGAGGUGGCGGUUCCUGGAGGGCCCGUGACUCUGUGGGAAGCCCAGGCUGGAGCAGCUCCAAACCUCAUGGGAAGGACUCAUGAAGGAGAGGUUGGUGGAGGACUCUCUCCAUGGGAGGGACCCCUUGGGGAAGCAGGGGAGGACUGUGAGGAAUCCUUCUUCCUGAGGAGGAAGGAGCAGCAGGAACCACCAGCCUGUGAACUGACUCUAAACCCCAUCCCCUGUCCCCCUGUGCCGCUGGGGGGAAGGAGGGAGAGAAACCGGGAACAAAAGGAUUUGGGCCCAGGAAGAAGGAAGGGGUGGAGGUAACAUAUGUAAGCUCUGUUCUUUGUAUUGUCUGUGUCCUGUGUGUGUUUGAUUAGUGUGAAAUUAAAUUGUUAUUUUUCCCCAAGCUGAGUCUGUUUUGCCUGGGACCUUAAUCGGUGAAGAACCCUCCUUGUCCUUUGUCUCAACCCAUGAGCUUUGUCCUCCUCAUCCCAGAGCAUGGGUGUGUGUGUGUGUGACACACUAAGAGGGACUUAAAAAAAAAUAUUUGUGUGCAUUGAAUCUUAAACCAACUUGUAGCAAAAUGAGAUAAGAAGAAAAUUUUCCUUGCAGCCAGUUUGGCCAUUAGGUGUUUCUGACAGGGUUUUUGUGUGCUGUCCCCAUGUCAUUUUAUUGUGGCCAUACACUGAAAUAAUGCACUGGGCUAUGUGGACCACUGGGCUGAGCAAGUGCAUGGAGAUUCUUAUGAUGACUAUGCUGAAAAACUUUUAUUUAGGGACCUUGACAUAAUUUUAUUUUAUUUGUUCCAGAAUGGGAUCACCCUUGCUCCUGUUGAUGCAUGAUCUGUGUACCAGGACUCAAGCAGGACUGAGGGACACAUCUUGUCAGGCAACACAAGUGGUAAGAAGCUGGACUGCCUUUCUUCAACUCUUUACUGCCUUCCCAGGAUUUGAAAGUGUGACAAAAAUAUUUCAUCCCUUUACAGGAUUAGGGAUGCGAAGUUUGCCUCUCACCGAGCUGCUGCUGGCUGGUUCACUGCCUGAUAGAGGGUGUCUCUUAAGACCUGAUUUAGCCUGAAGCAACAGUUUCUCAUGAGUUCUGAAACAGGGCUGAAGAAGUGCAAAUGUUGCAUCCUUUCCCUCCUGUCAUCUGCUUCCACACAAGCGCAGUGCCUGUGCUGUGCCUGCAACUCAGUCACCCUGAAAUGCUCCUUGUUGGUGGAGAUUUGUACUGAGCUGGUACAGAGUGGACUUUGCUUUUGAUAGCAGUAUCCCUUGUUGCUGUGUCAUUCUUGGAGAAGAUGGGUUCAUCCUUUCCUUUUUUUUCCACUGGGACUAGCUGUUCUACACACAGGAACCAAAAGAGGCAAAUCUAUAUCCUCUUUCAGUUUUUGAAUUGAAGGUCUACAUCACAUGAAAUUCUUGGGUGUUUUGGAGAGGUAAAGCUUCUUUUUUUAAAAACAAAAACAACAAACAAACGACAUUGAACCCAAGUUGAAGAAACAACUGGCUGAUACAGUGCAUGGGAGUAUAAAGCAUUCCCAUUCCAUCUGGUCUUGCACAUCCACUCCCUGUAAAUACAUUAAAUGUGAUAGCUGUCAGGCAUGAGCAUAGAUUCAGAGAUGGUCAGGACUAGUUUGCCAUGCAGACAUUUAUCUGAUGGCCCCAUCCUAUUUUCUAGAACCAAGAUUUCACUACUAUAAAAUGAACAUCUUAAAGCAUUGUAAGAGAUAGGAGGAUUAGGUGUACUUAACCAGAGUUUAGGUUAGGCAUAUCUCACAUCUUGGAGUUUGCCCGUAAAUAACAAAGUAUAUCAUCAAUGGCAGUAUGACCUUCUUCAUCUUUAACUACACAAAAGAAAAGGACAGUCCUGAAAAUGCAGCAGUCUUUAAAAUAAAGACAUAUUGACCCUGAAUUAUCACAGUGAAAUUCAACAGGGCUGUUCCUAUUAAUGAUCUAAGAAUAUAGAUGUGAUUGAAUACAUAGAAAACUGUAUCUUGUUCCAGUCACCUUUAUUACUAUAAUAAAUUAUACUAACUCUCUCUUCCUACAGACCUUAUCUUAUCUGUUUAUAGUGUUGGCAUUUAUUUUGUUUUGAGCUGGGAAGCAAUGUGUACCUAGAUACUGUAAGUUUGUAAGAGACUUUAUGAUUAUGCCAUUUUAAAAUAAUUCUUUGUGUUCUGAUUACUAGUUUGAACUAAGAAAAUAUAUUUAUACUCCUAAAAGCAGUAGCAGAUUUGCUACAACACACCAGUUCAGAGUUAUUUGCUCAUGAACUGUCAUUUCCAGAAAACUCCCAGAUUUCCUGCACCUAUUUUCUCUAGUAGGUGGCAAAUCCUUAGUACCUCCCAAAAGCUGCUCAAAGUCUGUAGGGUAUGAAGGCUUUGCUUUAUUUUUUUGGUUUGUUUUUUUUAAAUCUUGGUAAAAAGUCAUGAAUGAAAUAAAUUAAGCUGUUGCUCAACAUA